Nyctereutes procyonoides (raccoon dog) is the source of this 73-nucleotide non-coding RNA. NCBI's taxonomy places the organism in Eukaryota, Metazoa, Chordata, Mammalia, Carnivora, Canidae. The record is from the annotation of a RefSeq genome assembly.
GCCUGGUUGGCUCAGCUGGUAGAGCAUGAGACUCUUGAUCUCAGGGUUGUGAGUUCAAUCCUCCUACUGGACA